CCUGGGCUUUCAUCUGUUUUAGGCUUUUUAUUUUUUGGUACCAGGGAUUUUUGGUGAUACUGGGGAAUGAACCCAGGGCCUUUACCCUGAGCUACAUCCCCAGCCCUCUUUUCACUUUUUGAAAUAGGAUCUUGCUGAAUUGCUAAAUUGCCCAGGCUGGAUUCUCCUGCCUCAGCCUACCAAUAAUUACAGACAUGUGACAACACACCUGGUCACUUGGGGGGUUUUCUGGGGAAAUAUGGUUGGAGCCCUGCACCCUUUUCCCUUCUCAUCUCUGCCCCGUCUCUUAGCAGAGGCCUAAGCCACACCCCCUACCUUGGACAAUCAGCCGGGCACUGGCCUGGGCCUGUCCCCAAGGUCCAUGUGCCCGGCAAACAUACAUCCCUUGACAGCUCUGGUCUAAAUUCUGGAGUCUGUAAAGAAAAAUGAAUGAGAUCAGGGAGUGAGACUGAUUGAGAAUGCUUUGCAAUUACGGGGGAGUUACCAGCAACACAGGUCAGUACCCAGGGCCAGCUUCAGGCCUCCUGUAGUGACCGCUGAGGCAGGCAGGUGGGGUGGGGUGGGUGCUACACCCAUUUCAGACAAAGAGACCCACUGCUCUAGAGCUCAAGGUCACAGUUCCCAAGUCACAGAGCUACUGUCUUUCUUCCCCUUUUACAGGCUCAAGAAAGAACUAAGUGUGUGUGAGAACCAGGCCUGUAUUACACGUGGAGGCUCAGGGAGGUCAAGUGACCUGCCCAAGGACUUCACUUCAGGCCCAGCCCCAUGUGAGCCAUGGGCUGUGGUGCCCAGGGCAGUCCUGCCCACCCCUACCCCCCCAUCACUCACCGGAGCACCCCGUCCUGCACGCUGUAGCCAGGAGGCAGCUGACCCCCUUCCUUGAACCAACGGAGCUGGGUGCCCCGGUCACUGGGCACGGCACAGUGGAACUCGGCGUUGGCCCCGAUGCUCUUGGUCUCCAGCUGUGGAGUGACCUGCACGGUGGGCGUGGCUUCUGCUGGGCCAUGGGUAUCAGGGAGAGAGCUGAAGGGGCCUUGGAGAGUAGGGAGAAGAUGGCAUUUCGGGUGGGACAGUGCAGGGGAGGCCUUUACCCUGCAAGUGUGGGUCCCUCAGUGCCUAUGGUGAGGUCACUGAAGGGCCCGGAAGAAAGUUGACCCCUCUGCCCACGCUGAGCCCAGCUGCUUACCUUGGACAAGCACCUGGGCGAAGGCCUCAGCUGAUCCCACCUUGUUGGUGACCUGGCAGAGGUAGCGGCCAGAGUCCUCAGGGCUGGCGGGCUCCAGGUGCAGCAGCUGGUUUCUGGUGGUCACCCUUCCAGGAAGGCUGCCGCCCACCCGACUCCACUGGAAGGUGAGCGGGGGUGUGCCGUGAGCCAGGCACUGCAGCUGCACCAGCUCCCCAGCCUGCACUGACACGUGCUCCGGAACUACGGUGGCGUACGGUGGGC
This 1447-nucleotide long non-coding RNA is filed under the name Heterocephalus glaber (naked mole-rat). Its description in RNAcentral is "lncRNA (ENSHGLG00100035994.1)". Lineage: Eukaryota; Metazoa; Chordata; Mammalia; Rodentia; Bathyergidae. The record is from RNAcentral.